GUACUUGCUUUGGCGUCACAUACACUGAAAUUGGAAUGAUACAGAGACAAUUAGCAUGACCCCUGUGUAAGGAUGACACUGAAAUUUGUAAAACUAUUCUUU
This is a small nuclear RNA of Erinaceus europaeus (western European hedgehog), 102 nucleotides long. The record is from Ensembl. Lineage: Eukaryota; Metazoa; Chordata; Mammalia; Eulipotyphla; Erinaceidae.